CAGAUGAUAUUGCUUUUUAAUUGCGGACUCGAGCGGAAAUUGCUUUCACAAACACACAGGGACACACACAUGUGGACACAACUAGCAGAAGGAGUGCCCAAUGACAUUUUGCUUGGCUUGGCACACGAAUGGGUGGACAGGCACGGGCGACGGCGGCUUCUGAAAACUGGCAGCGGAAGUGCGUUGAUUGCAUGACUCCAGGAACUGGGAAGUGUGUGCGGGCAACUGGAGAGCUCCAAAACUUCCCUUUUGCCAUUUGCCUGACCUCAAAAACUUUGACCUUUUGG
RNAcentral lists this long non-coding RNA (287 nucleotides) under Drosophila guanche. Lineage: Eukaryota; Metazoa; Arthropoda; Insecta; Diptera; Drosophilidae. The record is from RNAcentral.